RNAcentral lists this ribosomal RNA (497 nucleotides) under uncultured bacterium. RNAcentral describes it as "partial 16S ribosomal RNA". It matches the Rfam family "Bacterial small subunit ribosomal RNA", at positions 28 to 507 of the family's 1533-position model. The record is from RNAcentral.
GAUGAACGCUGGCGGCGUGCCUAAUACAUGCCAGUCGAGCGAACAGACGAGGAGCUUGCUCCUCUGACGUUAGCGGCGGACGGGUGAGUAACACGUGGAUAACCUACCUAUAAGACUGGGAUAACUUCGGGAAACCGGAGCUAAUACCGGAUAAUAUAUUGAACCGCAUGGUUCAAUAGUGAAAGACGGUUUUGCUGUCACUUAUAGAUGGAUCCGCGCCGCAUUAGCUAGUUGGUAAGGUAACGGCUUACCAAGGCGACGAUGCGUAGCCGACCUGAGAGGGUGAUCGGCCACACUGGAAUUGAGACACGGUCCAGACUCCUACGGGAGGCAGCAGUAGGGAAUCUUCCGCAAUGGGCGAAAGCCUGACGGAGCAACGCCGCGUGAGUGAUGAAGGUCUUCGGAUCGUAAAACUCUGUUAUUAGGGAAGAACAAAUGUGUAAGUAACUAUGCACGUCUUGACGGUACCUAAUCAGAAAGCCACGGCUAACUACGUG